UGAGCCGAAGUCGGCUGCUUAACUGACUGAGCCACCCAGGUGUCCCAAAAAAAAGCCAUCUUGAGGACCUCAGAGAAACAGCCUUCCACAGCACGUCGAAUCUUUUGCGAUGCUUAUCAGCCAAUACAGGACACAGUAGAGCAGGAAUUACCCAGAAGCUUGCCCAACGUGGCUUCUCCUUUUCGUUAAGUACCCACAGCUGGAAAUAGUGGGUUAAUAAAGGCACACCAUCUCAGGGGACUGGGGCUUGCUUGGCUCCUAAAUCCCCUUUGAUUUAACAGGCCUGCUUUCUGAAUUGGGGAUCUUCUUGGAUUACUAACAGUGGUUUUAGAUGUUUUACUGUGUCUUUGGAGAUACAAGAGAACACUAGGAUUAGCCAGCUUUUAACCUCUCUCUAUACUGAAUUCUAUAGGCAAGGGGUUUCAAUCAUAUUCCUUGAACAUUCUAAUUCCAUAUACUACAGUUUCAGUGGGAUUUAGGGGUCUUGUUACCAAAGUAUCAGAAGGAAGGAGCACCACCUGGUAAUGUCAUCUUCCCCAUCGUUCAGCUGGUUCAGAGGUCACUUCUGGGGCAUCCUCUCUUUUCUACGACUCCAGCCUUUCUCAUGCUCAGACCUUUAGUUUGGGGAGAAUUGAGGCCACCCCCAGCUCCAGAGGAGAGGAUCCUGAUUGCCUGAAGACAAAGUAUGGCCUUGGCCAUACUAAUGGGUUUGGGAAUGGACCAUUAACCUAAGUUGGGCCACAGCACUUUCUGCAGAACGCUAAUCAAAAUAAACUCUGCGUGAAGGGAGUUGGUCCAUCAAGUAAGUUUGGGAAAUGCUAUAAACGAUAUUCCCUCUUGGGGAUUCUCUGCUCACAGGAACCUUACACUUCAAUUAUGAUGUCUCUUCCCAGACUGUUCAACUACUCCCUCUCAACUAGAUGCUUUUGCUGUGCUUUUAAGCAUCCCUAAGUACUUUCCAUCUCACGUUUAAAAAGAACAAAAGGUCUACAUGAAAGCCACCCCUACACCAGCCUACCGCCUAUCUCCCGUCUUCCACAGCUACAGAAUUGUCAGGUUGUCCUCUGACUUCCUAACUUCCCAUCCUAUGCCAUCACUCCUCCAUAGAAAUGACCCCAAGGUUGCCCAUACAUCCGUGUCGAAAACACAUGGGCUUUGCUCAAUCCUCACCUCCUUCGACUCUGGUCGCAUUUGACACUAUUGGGCACUUUCUCCUUGAAGCACCUUCUCCCAUUGGCUUCCAGGACACCGUGUGACUCUCCCGGUCUUAAUCCUACCUCUGUGACUGCUCCUUCUCUGUGUUCUUUGCACACUGUGUCUCUUCUACACAACCAUUAAACGAUGGGGUCCCUUGUGGCUCAAUAGUAGGCUCUUCUCUUAAAUUGUGCCCUCUCCUUAGACCAUCUCAACCACGCUCCUAGCUUCGGUGACCAGCUGGCUUCAGUCAUGAGCCCACCCCUGAAGCCGGCAGGAAUGGGGAUGUGAUCAUGGGCGGGGCGUUUCCUUGGUGAUGGGAGGAAAUUGGAGUACUGUGAACAAAGGAAGGAGAAAGGGAUGCUGGAGAAUAG
This is a long non-coding RNA of Herpailurus yagouaroundi (jaguarundi), 1568 nucleotides long. RefSeq lists it as uncharacterized. The transcript is spliced from 2 exons. The record is from RefSeq and is a predicted model, not a curated record. NCBI's taxonomy places the organism in Eukaryota, Metazoa, Chordata, Mammalia, Carnivora, Felidae.